CCUACGGGAGGCAGCAGUGAGGAAUAUUGGUCAAUGGACGAGAGUCUGAACCAGCCAAGUAGCGUGAAGGAUGACUGCCCUAUGGGUUGUAAACUUCUUUUAUAAAGGAAUAAAACGAGGCACGUGUGCCUUUUUGCAUGUACUUUAUGAAUAAGGAUCGGCUAACUCCGUGCCAGCAGCCGCGGUAAUACGGAGGAUCCGAGCGUUAUCCGGAUUUAUUGGGUUUAAAGGGAGCGUAGAUGGGUUGUUAAGUCAGUUGUGAAAGUUUGCGGCUCAACCGUAAAAUUGCAAUUGAUACUGGCAGUCGUGAGUACAGUUGAGGUAGGCGGAAUUCGUGGUGUAGCGGUGAAAUGCUUAGAUAUAACGAAGAACCCCGAUUGCAAAGGCAGCUUACUAAACUGUGACUGACAUUGAUGCUCGAAAGUGUGGGUAUCAAACAGGAUUAGAUACCCCAGUAGUC
RNAcentral lists this ribosomal RNA (460 nucleotides) under uncultured bacterium. Its description in RNAcentral is "partial 16S ribosomal RNA". It matches the Rfam family "Bacterial small subunit ribosomal RNA", at positions 338 to 795 of the family's 1533-position model. The record is from RNAcentral.